RNAcentral lists this ribosomal RNA (465 nucleotides) under uncultured bacterium. RNAcentral's name for it is "partial 16S ribosomal RNA". It matches the Rfam family "Bacterial small subunit ribosomal RNA", at positions 339 to 795 of the family's 1533-position model. The record is from RNAcentral.
CUACGGGUUGCACCAGUGAGGAAUUUUGCGCAAUGGGGGGAACCCUGACGCAGCAACGCCGCGUGAGUGAUGAAGGCUUUCGGGUCGUAAAGCUCUGUCAAGUGGGAAGAACCUAUGCAGUGUUAAUAUCACUGUAUACUGACGGUACCACUGAAGGAAGCACCGGCUAGCUCCGUGCCAGCAGCCGCGGUAAUACGGGGGGUGCAAGCGUUAUUCGGAAUCAUUGGGCGUAAAGGGCACGUAGGCGGCUUGGUAAGUCAGAUGUGAAAGCCCGGGGCUUAACCCCGGAAGUGCAUUUGAUACUGUCAGGCUUGAGUAUGGGAGAGGGAAGUGGAAUUCAUGGUGUAGAGGUGAAAUUCGUAGAUAUCAGGAGGAACACCGGUGGCGAAGGCGACUUCCUGGACCAAUACUGACGCUGAGGUGCGAAGGCGUGGGUAGCAAACAGGAUUAGAUACCCCCGUAGUC